GACGAACGCUGGCGGCGUGCCUAAUACAUGCCAGUCGAACGAACCGCGACUAGGUGCUUGCACUUGGUCAAGGUGAGUGGCGAACGGGUGAGUAACACGUGGGUAACCUACCUCAUAGUGGGGGAUAACAGUCGGAAACGACUGCUAAUACCGCAUAGGACAUAGGAUCACAUGAUCCAGUGAGGAAAGGUGGCGCAAGCUAUCGCUAAGAGAUGGACCCGCGGUGCAUUAGCUAGUUGGUAGGGUAAAGGCCUACCAAGGCGAUGAUGCAUAGCCGACCUGAGAGGGUGAUCGGCCACAUUGGGACUGAGACACGGCCCAAACUCCUACGGGAGGCAGCAGUAGGGAAUCUUCCGCAAUGGACGCAAGUCUGACGGAGCAACGCCGCGUGAGUGAAGAAGGUCUUCGGAUCGUAAAGCUCUGUUGUUAGAGAAGAACAGCGCAUAGAGUAACUGUUAUGCGUGCGACGGUAUCUAACCAGAAAGCCACGGCUAACUACGUG
This 502-nucleotide ribosomal RNA is filed under the name uncultured bacterium. Its description in RNAcentral is "partial 16S ribosomal RNA". It matches the Rfam family "Bacterial small subunit ribosomal RNA", at positions 28 to 507 of the family's 1533-position model. The record is from RNAcentral.